ACGGGAGGCAGCAGUGGGGGAUAUUGCACAAUGGGGGAAACCCUGAUGCGGCGACGCCGCGUGAGUGAAGAAGUAUUUCGGUAUGUAAAGCUCUAUCAGCAGGGAAGAAAGACUCGUAAGAGAGAUGACGGUACCUGACUAAGAAGCCCCGGCUAACUACGUGCCAGCAGCCGCGGUAAUACGUAGGGGGCAAGCGUUAUCCGGAUUUACUGGGUGUAAAGGGAGCGUAGGCGGCGAUGCAAGUCAGAUGUGAAAACCCGGGGCUCAACCCCGUGGACUGCAUUUAAAACUGUAUUGCUAGAGUAUCGGAGAGGUUAGUGGAAUUCCUAGUGUAGCGGUGAAAUGCGUAGAUAUUAGGAAGAACACCGGUGGCGAAGGCGGCUAACUGGACGAAAACUGACGCUGAGGCUCGAAAGCGUGGGGAGCAAACAGGAUUAGAUACCCUGGUA
RNAcentral lists this ribosomal RNA (449 nucleotides) under uncultured Clostridium sp. RNAcentral describes it as "partial 16S ribosomal RNA". It matches the Rfam family "Bacterial small subunit ribosomal RNA", at positions 341 to 792 of the family's 1533-position model. Lineage: Bacteria; Bacillati; Bacillota; Clostridia; Eubacteriales; Clostridiaceae. The record is from RNAcentral.